CACUCUAUGUCUCUAUCUUCUCUCUCUCUCUCUCUCUCUCUCUGCUCGAUCCCCUCCUUUCUCUCGAUCUCCACCUCCGCCACUACUAUCGCCGCCUCUCCUGGCCAUCUCCGGUGGUCUUCAGCGCCGCGCUAGCUCAUAAAUUACUUCCCUCGCUCCGCUCUUCCUUUCAGUCCAACCAAUCUCCUUGAUUGCUUCCUCCUAGCCCGGUCCCUUGUUCUUGGUGACCUAGGGUUUCGUUGGUGGUUCUGGUGUGGAACUCCGGUGAUCCCCCGGUUGAUGUGGGGUGCACAGGACGUCUCCAUUUUUCUCACCGCGGCGCGGUGAUGCUCCUGGGUGGCGUCUCCGUGCGAUGGUGCCCUUGGAGCAGCGUCAGCGUGCCCGGCGCUUGCUCUGGUCGCCGUGGAUUCUCCGACGAACUCCUAGCCCUUUCCUGGGUGUGAUGGUGGUCAGACCACAGCCAUGGUGUGGCUUUGUUUAUACUACGGCUCCAUCCCCUCUUGGUGAGCCCUCUCCUCCUGUUCUACGGUUUCUGCUCCACUGCUUGAUGCUAGCCUUGUUUGUGAUGAUCUAAAUUUAGUAUGGAAGUGUUCUAGAGCUUAGUGGUAGUGGUUUGUGUCCUUGGUGGCAGUGGUGGUUUGCUCUGAUCUAGUUCUUUGUACUGCUUAACUCUGAACUUGGUUGAAUUUUACGCAGUUAACUCUGAAACUGUGCUUCUAGGUUUACUUCUAAGUGCUGCUAGUCUCUGUGUUGUAUUAGCCGUAGUAGAUAAUUACUCUGUUAGUACUAGAUUAGGGUCUCAACAAUAAUUUCUACUGUUGGCUCAUACUGGCUUGUAUUUUAGUGUUUGCUAAAUGUUUGUGGUGUCUUUUUGAUUCAGUUAAAUGAAACUGCUGUUUUAGCUUCUAUAUAUGUGUUGUUCAAUGUGUUAUUCCUUUCAGUUGGUCUAUUUAAUCUUUAGAUAACAGUGGUUUAUUAUUGUUUUCAAAUGUUACUGCUUGCAAUCGGAGGAGGGUCAUGUGAUGCUAGAAGAAUGAGCAUACGCAUUACAACAGGAGGCACUGACGGCCCAUGCAGACGGGCGUGGGGAAUGGAGACGGCAAAAUUGUACUCCCUCCAGUGUUGUUUCAUAAACGCUCUUAUAUUAUGGGACGGAGGGUUUCAUAAACGCUCUUAUAUUAUGGGACGGAGGGAGUACGUCUAAAAGAGGGUGGACGAGCAGAAGCUGAAGAAAAAGCUGAAAAUGGGAACACAACUAUGGAAGAAGAGUAGGAGAAGGAAAACAGAGGAACGGAAAGGCUGAUGCAUGCUUGCGAUGGUUAUAUUGCUUUGUGUGUGUUUAUACUAGUUGCUCUAUUUUGGAUGCCGUUUCCAGUGUUGUUUCAUGUUUGCUUUGUUGUUAUUCCCUCUGUUCUGAAUUAUAAGAUGUUUUAAUCUUUUUUCCUGAUUCAGAUGUGUAUAAACGUGGUUUACUGUGCUUGUUUAUUCAUUUAAAUCUGUAUGUAAUCCAUAUUGAAAUAUCCAAAACAUGGAUGGGGCAAGCCUGCAAAACUCGCACCGGAUGCUUUUUAAUCUUUGUUUUGCUUCGUUAUCGUUUGAUAGUGGAACCAUUUUUAUAGCAAAUUUUAGGAAAUUACUUUUUAACAGGUCUUAUAGCAAAUAUCAUUUUUUUGAACGCAG
Molecule: long non-coding RNA, 1680 nt
Filed under: Triticum aestivum (bread wheat)
Lineage: Eukaryota; Viridiplantae; Streptophyta; Magnoliopsida; Poales; Poaceae
Description: long non-coding RNA (TAES_LNC009437)
Source: RNAcentral